Molecule: RNA transcript, 1704 nt
Organism: Theobroma cacao (cacao)
Lineage: Eukaryota; Viridiplantae; Streptophyta; Magnoliopsida; Malvales; Malvaceae
Gene: HEMD
Gene name: uroporphyrinogen-III synthase family protein
Source: RefSeq, a predicted model, not a curated record
AGUAGUUAAUUCGGUAAGAGCUGGCCCCUUUGGCCAAUCCGUUUGCCCAACACGUUUCAAUGGAGCUACUUUCUCUCUCCCCUCUCUCUCCUCCUCUCCCACCUCCUCCUCCUCCGCCAUGUUAUUCUUCUCUGCAACUUCACAGCCGAAUCUCUUUCUCUCAUUCAAGAAUCGGAGCUUCUUCGUCUUCGUUGACUUCUCAAGUGAUUCAACAUACUCCUACUUCAAAUCCGAAAGUCGUCGUCACCAGAGAACGAGGCAAAAACUCCAAGCUCAUUGACGCUCUGGCCGAACACGGGAUCAAUUGCUUGGAGCUUCCUCUUAUUCAGCAUACACAAGGGCCUGACUUUGAUAGGCUUGCUUCUGUUUUAAGUGCAGAAACAGCGUUUGACUGGAUCAUCAUAACUUCACCUGAAGCCGGUUCGGUCUUUCUAGAGGCAUGGAAGGCAGCUGGAACCCCAAGUGUGAGGGUAGGUGUUGUUGGAGCUGGUACAGCUAGUAUUUUUGACAAUUUAAUGCAAUCAUCAAAGCACUCACUUGAUGUUGCCUUUGCACCAUCAAAAGCAACAGGAAAAAUUUUGGCUUCAGAGCUUCCGAAGGAUGGGAAUAGAAGGUGCACCGUCUUAUAUCCUGCUUCGGUGAAAGCUAGUAAUGAGAUUGAAGAAGGCCUGUCUAGUCGUGGAUUUCAGGUUAUGAGGCUGAACACAUACACAACUGUACUUGUUGAUCAUGUUGACCAAAUUGUCUUGGAGAAGGCCCUAUCUGUCCCGGUUGUUGCUGUUGCUUCACCUUCUGCAGUUCAAGCCUGGGUCAAUCUUAUUUCAAAACCUGAUUCUUGGAGCAAUUCAGUUGCCUGUAUUGGGGAGACAACCGCCUCAGCUGCAAAAAGAUUGGGAUUGAGAAAUGUUUACUUUCCAACGCAGCCUGGACUUGAUGGUUAGAACACUCAGUGUCCGAUUACUUGCAUGGCUGUUGAAGCAACCAUAAAGUUAAACUACAGCAAAUUUCCUGCAACUGUAAUUUGCUUCAAUAGCCAAGGCUCUGCCAGCAAAACCAAUACUCUAUUGAGUAUUGAGCAAAGUUCUGUUUGAGCUGAGCUUCCUUGACUUGGCAAAUGAGUUCUUCCUUCUCUUAUAUUCACCUUUUCUCUCUCUCUGAACCUCCUUAACCAUGAAUGCUUAUCAAAUUGGAAGUUGUUUUUGACUAAAUUAAAGAUUCCGGCUCUUUUGAUUUUUGUGUAUUGGCAGCUGGGUUGGUAGCAUCCUUGAAGCCUUAAGAGCUCAUGACAGUUUUUAGGAAUGAAAGAUAUUAAGGUUCCUUUGGAAGUCUGGAGGCAGAAUGAAGCAGAUUUUGAACCAUAAGCCUCACAAAUUCCAUGCGAGCUGCAGACAACAGAAAGAGAAGAAAAUUUUGGCCACGCUAAAGGAUGGGAAUUUGUUGAAAAUUCAGAAUUUUGAAGGUACAUGUCCUAUUGGCAGCAUUGUAAUUUAAGGUUAGUGAGAGGCUAUUCAUUUCAACAUAAUUGAAACUUGUACAGUAUUUUCUCACUGUAAGCCCAUUCAUUUGACUCAAUGUCAGUUGUGUUGAAAUUGGAUUGGUGGCACUGCCACUCCAUAAAAUCUGUAAGCAGUAGGAGACUUUGUUAAUUGUAGUUGUAAUCAUAGUUGCUGUCCUUUUAUGUUGUUGUAUGACAUUUUUUAUAUA